UACGUAGGGCGCAAGCGUUAUCCGGAAUUAUUGGGCGUAAAGAGCUCGUAGGCGGUUUGUCGCGUCUGCCGUGAAAGUCCGGGGCUCAACUCCGGAUCUGCGGUGGGUACGGGCAGACUAGAGUGAUGUAGGGGAGGCUGGAAUUCCUGGUGUAGCGGUGAAAUGCGCAGAUAUCAGGAGGAACACCGAUGGCGAAGGCAGAUCUCUGGGCCGUAACUGACGCUGAGGAGCGAAAGCAUGGGGAGCGAACAGG
Molecule: ribosomal RNA, 253 nt
Filed under: uncultured bacterium
Lineage: Bacteria
Description: partial 16S ribosomal RNA
Rfam family: Bacterial small subunit ribosomal RNA
Source: RNAcentral